AACGAACGCUGGCGGCAUGCCUAACACAUGCAAGUCGAACGAGACCUUCGGGUCUAGUGGCGCACGGGUGCGUAACGCGUGGGAACCUGCACUUAGGUUCGGAAUAACUCCCAGAAAGGGGUGCUAAUACCGGAUAAUGUCUUCGGACCAAAGAUUUAUCGCCUUUGGAUGGGCCCGCGUUGGAUUAGCUAGUUGGUAGGGUAAAAGCCUACCAAGGCGACGAUCCAUAGCUGGUCUGAGAGGAUGAUCAGCCACACUGGGACUGAGACACGGCCCAGACUCCUACGGGAGGCAGCAGUGGGGAAUAUUGGACAGUGGGCGAAAGCCUGAUCCAGCAAUGCCGCGUGAGUGAUGAAGGCCUUAGGGUUGUAAAGCUCUUUUACCCGGGAUGAUAAUGACAGUACCGGGAGAAUAAGCUCCGGCUAACUCCGUG
RNAcentral lists this ribosomal RNA (433 nucleotides) under uncultured bacterium. RNAcentral's name for it is "partial 16S ribosomal RNA". It matches the Rfam family "Bacterial small subunit ribosomal RNA", at positions 29 to 507 of the family's 1533-position model. The record is from RNAcentral.